AAUUCUCAACCUCUUUCAGCUCUUGUGGCUGAUUUGUGAUGGUUUGGAUAUGGAGGUCUCUGCUGGCAGCCCAUUUGCUAGGUCAGCUCCUCUGAAAUGCAUUAGCAGAACCAUUUGCGAUCUGUCAAUGGUAUGAUAAUUAUCAAUGCCAGUAAGAUUGCUCUCUGUUUUGUUCUGCUUCUAAUAGUCCCAAUAGGACAAGCUUUUGCUACUGAACCU
RNAcentral lists this unclassified non-coding RNA (219 nucleotides) under uncultured Agaricales. RNAcentral describes it as "sequence contains ITS2". Lineage: Eukaryota; Fungi; Basidiomycota; Agaricomycetes; Agaricales. The record is from RNAcentral.